This 497-nucleotide ribosomal RNA is filed under the name uncultured bacterium. RNAcentral describes it as "partial 16S ribosomal RNA". It matches the Rfam family "Bacterial small subunit ribosomal RNA", at positions 28 to 507 of the family's 1533-position model. The record is from RNAcentral.
GAUGAACGCUGGCGGCGUGCCUAAUACAUGCAAGUCGAGCGAACAGACGAGGAGCUUGCUCCUCUGACGUUAGCGGCGGACGGGUGAGUAACACGUGGAUAACCUACCUAUAAGACUGGGAUAACUUCGGGAAACCGGAGCUAAUACCGGAUAAUAUAUUGAACCGCAUGGUUCAACAGUGAAAGACGGUUUUGCUGUCACUUAUAGAUGGAUCCGCGCCGCAUUAGCUAGUUGGUAAGGUAACGGCUUACCAAGGCGACGAUGCGUAGCCGACCUGAGAGGGUGAUCGGCCACACUGGAACUGAGACACGGUCCAGACUCCUACGGGAGGCAGCAGUAGGGAAUCUUCCGCAAUGGGCGAAAGCUUGACGGAGCAACGCCGCGUGAGUGAUGAAGGUCUUCGGAUCGUAAAACUCUGUUAUUAGGGAAGAACAAAUGUGUAAGUAACUAUGCACGUCUUGACGGUACCUAAUCAGAAAGCCACGGCUAACUACGUG